GAUGAACGCUGGCGGCGUGCCUAAUACAUGCAAGUCGAGCGAACAGAUAAGGAGCUUGCUCCUUUGACGUUAGCGGCGGACGGGUGAGUAACACGUGGGUAACCUACCUAUAAGACUGGAAUAACUCCGGGAAACCGGGGCUAAUGCCGGAUAACAUUUAGAACCGCAUGGUUCUAAAGUGAAAGAUGGUUUUGCUAUCACUUAUAGAUGGACCCGCGCCGUAUUAGCUAGCUGGUAAGGUAACGGCUUACCAAGGCAACGAUACGUAGCCGACCUGAGAGGGUGAUCGGCCACACUGGAACUGAGACACGGUCCAGACUCCUACGGGAGGCAGCAGUAGGGAAUCUUCCGUAAUGGGCGAAAGCCUGACGGAGCAACGCCGCGUGAGUGAUGAAGGUCUUCGGAUCGUAAAACUCUGUUAUUAGGGAAGAACAAAUGUGUAAGUAACUGUGCACGUCUUGACGGUACCUAAUCAGAAAGCCACGGCUAACUACGUG
RNAcentral lists this ribosomal RNA (497 nucleotides) under uncultured bacterium. Its description in RNAcentral is "partial 16S ribosomal RNA". It matches the Rfam family "Bacterial small subunit ribosomal RNA", at positions 28 to 507 of the family's 1533-position model. The record is from RNAcentral.